GCCGACAUAGCUCAGUGGUAGAGCGGCUGUUUUGUAAACAGCGGGUCGCGGGUUCGAGUCCUGUUGUCGGCUCCA
This 75-nucleotide transfer RNA is filed under the name Chthonomonas sp. Its description in RNAcentral is "tRNA-Thr". It matches the Rfam family "tRNA". From Rfam's summary of the family: Transfer RNA (tRNA) molecules are approximately 80 nucleotides in length. The record is from RNAcentral. Lineage: Bacteria; Bacillati; Armatimonadota; Chthonomonadia; Chthonomonadales; Chthonomonadaceae.